Long non-coding RNA from Antechinus flavipes (yellow-footed antechinus), 418 nucleotides. RefSeq lists it as uncharacterized. NCBI's taxonomy places the organism in Eukaryota, Metazoa, Chordata, Mammalia, Dasyuromorphia, Dasyuridae. The transcript has 3 exons. The record is from RefSeq and is a predicted model, not a curated record.
CCCCCUAACUCCCAACUCCCCAGCACGGGAGGCACACCCCGCCCCUCCUCGCGCUAACGUCCGCCUCCGCCCACGCCGCCCGGUGGGUCCUCUUUCUAGCCGGGGCAGCGGCGCGCGGAAACCCCUUUGCACUACAUUCACUCCUUCCCUGACUCCCCACGCGCUCAGCCCUUCCCCGAGCCUCGGCCCGUGGCCCCACAGUCUCAUUAAUAAGUCUUUCAAAGAUUUUUCACUUCUGCUUCAUCUGUACUUCAACUCCAUUGCUUCAGCUACAUUUUCAUCUAAGGUAGAACCAGAACCGAAUUUGAGGAAAUGUUGACAGAAGCUUUUCUGAAUUUAAGGUACCUCCUCUGCAAAAUAGGAAUAAUAAGACCACAUAGCUCAUAGUAAUGUUGACAGAAUUAAACAAAAAUUUAUA